AUCACUUCUUGGCCUUUUGGCUAAGAUCAAGUGUAGUAUAGUGAGUUCAAGGCCAGCCUGAACUACACAGUGAGACCUUGUCUCAAAAAUAAAUAAAUAAAUAAAUACAGGUCUUACAUACAUACUGUUUACAAGCUACCUUGUCUUUUGAAAUCCCAUCCUUUCAUAGGCCUGAUAUGACAUCAU
Fukomys damarensis (Damara mole-rat) is the source of this 186-nucleotide non-coding RNA. Lineage: Eukaryota; Metazoa; Chordata; Mammalia; Rodentia; Bathyergidae. The record is from Rfam.